Long non-coding RNA from Biomphalaria glabrata, 781 nucleotides. RefSeq lists it as uncharacterized. The record is from RefSeq and is a predicted model, not a curated record. NCBI's taxonomy places the organism in Eukaryota, Metazoa, Mollusca, Gastropoda, Planorbidae. The transcript has 4 exons.
CAAACGUAUGUAAUGGAGAAUCAGUUCGUUACUUUCCCUAAAAACGCCCAGCAUUCUCUAUAGGCCUAUUUACAUGAGUGCUUUUUUGUUUUGUUUUGUGACGGUACGCAGCGGUACGUCGUAAUGGCGCCUUUUUCAAUGUGGGUAAGAGGUUUGUUUCUUGCCAGUGAUGCAUAUAUCUUCCUUGGACGUCCCGGCGCUAGCCUGUAAAACUGAGGCCUUACGUCGUAAAUGGUCGUACUUCCACCACACCUUGGUCUUUGCACUAUACUAUUGGUAUUGGAGCCCAGCGACUGGUAGAAAUUUGUAACCCCUGUUGGCUACGCUUAUGGAAUUCGAUGGCGUUUGGUGUGCUUAAUUGUGCGAAAACAAGUGCGACUGUUUUUUGUUCCACUUUGACACAUUCAGCUGCCGUCAACACGAUACACGUCUGGAAGGUCUCACACUGUUUUCUACAAUUAGUUUUACCCAUACUGUUAAUGCACUUUAAUGGAUAAUUUUUUAUUUUUUUUUUUAAAUUCCCAAUCAGAAGUGAACCAUAAUUGCAUUUUCAUAUGUUUUGAUUUGUAACGUAACACAACAUACCACAGAUAAAACUUAUAGAACAAAAUUUUUUUUUUUAUUUAUUUCACUUUUAAUGACUAUUCAGUGAAUGUAGAUCUAUUGAUCUAGAUACAAUCAACAAUGCUUAUGUAUACAGAAAACAACAUAAUAAAUAAAAUAGGAAAAUGUACAAAAGCAAAGAAAAAAAAUUAAAUUAAAAUUUAAAAAAAUCCAGAUA